UACGGGGGGGGCAAGCGUUGUUCGGAAUUACUGGGCGUAAAGGGCGCGUAGGCGGCCCGCUAAGUCGAACGUGAAAUCCCCGGGCUCAACCCGGGAACUGCGUCCGAUACUGGAAGGCUUGAAUCCGGGAGAGGGAUGUGGAAUUCCAGGUGUAGCGGUGAAAUGCGUAGAUAUCUGGAGGAACACCGGUGGCGAAGGCGACAUCCUGGACCGGUAUUGACGCUGAGGCGCGAAAGCCAGGGGAGCAAACGGG
Molecule: ribosomal RNA, 253 nt
Filed under: uncultured bacterium
Lineage: Bacteria
Description: partial 16S ribosomal RNA
Rfam family: Bacterial small subunit ribosomal RNA
Source: RNAcentral